This is a non-coding RNA of Acanthosepion pharaonis, 114 nucleotides long. NCBI's taxonomy places the organism in Eukaryota, Metazoa, Mollusca, Cephalopoda, Sepiida, Sepiidae. The record is from the annotation of a GenBank genome assembly.
UUACGGUCACAUCAUGCUGAAACACUGGUUCCUGUAUGAUCACCAAAGUUAAGCAAUGUUGAACCUGGUCUGUACCUAGAUGGGUGAUCACUUGGGAAUACCAGGUGCUGUAAG